ACUCCUACGGGAGGCAGCAGUGGGGAAUAUUGCACAAUGGGCGCAAGCCUGAUGCAGCAACGCCGUGUGAGUGAAGAAGGUUUUCGGAUCGUAAAACUCUGUCCUAAGGGAAGAAACAAAUGACGGUACCUUAGGAGGAAGCCCCGGCUAACUACGUGCCAGCAGCCGCGGUAAUACGUAGGGGGCAAGCGUUAUCCGGAAUCACUGGGCGUAAAGGGUGCGUAGGCGGCUUAGCAAAGCCAGGGGUGAAAGGCAUUGGCUCAACCAAUGUAAGCCUUUGGAACUGUUAAGCUUGAGUGCAGGAGAGGUAAGUGGAAUUCCUAGUGUAGAGGUGAAAUUCGUAGAUAUUAGGAGGAACACCAAGUGGCGAAGGCGACUUACUGGACUGUAACUGACGCUGAUGCACGAAAAGCGUGGGUAGCGAACAGGAUUAGAUACCCUGGUAACACAGAG
RNAcentral lists this ribosomal RNA (453 nucleotides) under uncultured bacterium. RNAcentral's name for it is "bacterial SSU rRNA". It matches the Rfam family "Bacterial small subunit ribosomal RNA", at positions 335 to 799 of the family's 1533-position model. The record is from RNAcentral.